AUGAGUUGGAGGAAAUGUUUGAUAAAAUUUUCCUGUAUUCUCAGUGGGUUCUCACUGACAGGCUGUUCAAGGAAAAUUCAACAAAAAUGCCUGCCAUACCACGAAGAGGCAAACAGCCAGAGGAACUUUCCUCAGAAGCGUUUCAGAUUACUUUAAAUUACUUAUCAGACCAUGCAAACUGGGUAGAACUGUCUUUCUUAAGAGCCAUUCACGUUUAAAAUGUGGACAUGGAGCUCCAACCCCAUGCCAACUGGGUGUUUUAAUAGCAGUUUUCUGGUAUUUUUCUAGUACUUUAUAAGUGAAAGGGGAUUCUUGUGUUUAUUUUGUGAUUAUUAUUAGCCCAAAUAAAAUUUGCCUCUUGCAAAGCACCAGUAGAGAAAAUAAAUCAUUGAACAUUGAUUGCAGGUCAUGAACUGCAGAGCCUAUUGGGCAAAAUAUAGGGGAUCAAAAGAAUGUGAGCCUGGUCUUGCUUGGUAAAAAAGGCAUUUACCUUCUAGUCAUGAAGGCAGGAUUGGAGCUGAGGCCCAUCUCCUUCAGCCACACAUUCUUCUUUCAGACAUCUCAGCACUCUUGAUAAUAUUCAGCCUUUGUUUAUACUCGGUAGAGCCUAGAUUUGAUUUCCAGGGUUUGUCUUCCUUCCCUGACCUGAGAGAAAAUCACUCCCAAGGCUGCCAGUUGUGG
This 681-nucleotide long non-coding RNA is filed under the name Pan troglodytes (chimpanzee). RNAcentral describes it as "lncRNA (ENSPTRG00000054318.1)". The record is from RNAcentral. Lineage: Eukaryota; Metazoa; Chordata; Mammalia; Primates; Hominidae.